This 623-nucleotide small RNA is filed under the name Cryptococcus neoformans H99. RNAcentral's name for it is "Cryptococcus neoformans var. grubii H99 hypothetical RNA". Lineage: Eukaryota; Fungi; Basidiomycota; Tremellomycetes; Tremellales; Cryptococcaceae. The record is from RNAcentral.
GUCAAUAUAUUUUAACCCAUGAUGCAGGUAGGAAAACACAGCAAGAAGUAGUUUUGUUCCUUAAGUUUCUUGGUUUUCUUCUUCCUGCGCUUCACAGGUGGUCCUUGCUGCGAUGAGCUUGUUCUUGUCCCCCGUAACCCGUCAUCUGGUGGUGCUGCGAGCUGUAGAUCGUCGUACUUUCCCUAAUAAUAACCUUUCUUUAUCAUCAUUUUCUCAUUAUAUCUUUGUUUCUCAACAGCAUUGGUUGGCUUCUCGCGAUUUGUCGUCUAGCUGCUUGCAGCAGGAUUUCUGUCCCCCUUCAUUCACAUCCUUCGUUCUGCUAAUUAUACACAUGUCUUGCGUGAGAUCUCGCUGCCUGCUCGGUACCCACGUCCUGGUUUAAACUUGCAAAGAUCAGCGACCUUCAUUUCGACACUUUAUAGGUUUUAAGACAUCUUCAAUGACACCAUGAGUCUCUCACUCCCCGUGACGAGCUAAUGCUAGUGCCUACUCCCGUUUUCAUCCAUGAAAUCCAGCCAGCUCCACGAUCAGCUUGGCGUUCUCGAAUAUCCUUUUAACUCAAGCACUGCUGCAACAAGGAAACAGAAAGACACGCACGUAUGCAUAUUCGCUGGUAAAUAUAG